Molecule: microRNA precursor, 189 nt
Filed under: Lotus japonicus
Lineage: Eukaryota; Viridiplantae; Streptophyta; Magnoliopsida; Fabales; Fabaceae
Description: miR11081 stem-loop (lja-MIR11081)
Source: miRBase by way of RNAcentral
GGACCCAAUUUGAUGCGAAAAUUUUACAGGGACCAGAUUUGAUUCCCUUUACAAUUUCAAGGACCAAAAGAAUAUUUAAACCAAUUAUAUAUGUUAAAAUUAAAAUAGGCUUAAUACAUCAGAAGACCCUUGAAAUUGUAAAGGGAAUCAGUUCCAGGGCCUGUAAAAUUUUCGCAUCAAAUUGGGUCC